AGAGGCGGGGACGCGCGCUGGUCUAUUUUUGGGCAUCCGGAUGGCGACUGCGGGAAAUCGAGUUCUCAUGCUGGGGCGAAAGGACCGUCCGCCCGCUCGGAAGAGGCGAAUCUCCCACGGCAGACGUCUGGGUGUGCGAAUGCCAGUUGAGCGGGGCCUCGAGGACGCGUCACACACAGCGAGGAUUUGAGGAGGGAAGCGCCUUCCAGGAAAAGAAAAUUUGGACAUAGACUCAUACAGAGGAAAGAUGAUGUGAGGACAGACAUCUAAGCCACGGAGCAAGGCCCUUCCCUCACAGCUCUCAGAAGGAACCAAACCUGUUGACAUCUGUUUUUUUUUUUUUGAGAUGGAGUCUAGCUCUGUCGCCCAGGCUGGAGUGCAGUAGCACGAUCUCAGCUCACUGCAGCCUCCGCCUCCCAGGUUCAAGCAAUUCUCCUGCCUCAGCCUCCCGAGUAGCUGGGAUUACAGGCACCCGCCACCACGCCCGGCUAAUUUUUAUAUUUUUAGUAGAGACAGGGUUUCACCACGUUGGCCAGGCUGGUCUCGAACUCCUGACUUCAAGUGAUCUGCUCUCCUUGGCCUCCCAAAGUGCUGGGAUCACAGGCGUGAGCCACUGCACCCGGCCCCUGUUGACAUCUUGAUCUCAGACUUCACCCGGCCCCCGAUGACAUCUUGAUCUCAGACUUCUGGUCUCCAGAAUGGUGGGAAAAUAAAUUGCUGUUUAAUCUA
Long non-coding RNA from Homo sapiens (human), 729 nucleotides. Lineage: Eukaryota; Metazoa; Chordata; Mammalia; Primates; Hominidae. The record is from Ensembl.